UCUAUAGAAACGAGGAAAAAAACAAAAAGCAAAAGUGAUCUCUGUUUUAGCCAUCUCUUCUCUCAUCAAGAUAGCGUUGUGGAGUCUGUUUCUAUCGUUCGUUUUUUCUUUGUUUUAACACAAACGAUCCUCAAGUGGGUUUGCGCUGCUCUUUAUUUACAUCAAUGGAAACCAUUUAGAUAAGAACGGAAAUAUUGCAGAAAAAAUCUGAAGAAGGCGAUCCUUUGAUACGAGAGUUGUGUGUUUGAUCAUGGCGGUUGCUGAGAAUGCUGGGGUAAAAAACGGCACUUCCGGUCAAAAUUUUGACGGCACUGUAGUAUCAUCGGACUCAAAAGGAGCAAACGAUCUCGAAAGAUCAAAACCCAGAAAUGAAUCGGUGGUCAACACUAAGGAAUCAAACUUUCAGACCCAUGAUUAUGAUCAGAGUGUUAACGGUCAGUGUGAGCACCAAGAGAGUGCAACUGCAGCUGCCCCUUUAAGCAAUGGCAAGACUGGUGGGACCCAGAUGCAGACCCGGUUCGACAUCAGUCAGCAGCAGAUGGUGGCAAAGGCUGUUGGGUAUGAGACAAAUCAGAUUCAAAGGGCUAAAUCCAAUGGGUUGAACGAUAUGAGCGAUUUGGUUGAGAUUUUGUCCAAAUUGAAUCCCAUGGCUGAAGAGUUUGUCCCUCCUUCGCUUGUUACCAAUCAUGGCUAUCUGGGAAAUGGGUUUGGGUACACUAACAAAUUUGCAGUGCAAGCUACUCCUGGGAAUGCCAAUGGACAUACUACUAAAAGGAAGAAGAACAACUAUAAUCAAGGAAGGCGAAGGAUGAACAGUAGGACUUGUAUGGCUCAGCGUGAGGAUGUAAUUAGGAGGACUGUUUAUGUUUCUGACAUUGAUCAACAGGUUACUGAAGAACAGCUUGCGGGUCUCUUUGUUCAUUGUGGGCAGGUGGUUGAUUGUCGAAUAUGUGGUGAUCCUAAUUCUGUUCUUCGAUUUGCCUUCAUUGAAUUCACGGAUGAAGAAGGGGCUAAGGCUGCUUUAAAUUUGUCUGGGACAGUGCUUGGAUAUUACCCGCUUAGGGUACUGCCUUCCAGAACUGCAAUUGCUCCUGUUAACCCCACAUUUUUGCCAAGGUCUGAAGAUGAGCGCGAGAUGUGCGCAAGAACUGUUUACUGUACAAAUAUUGACAAGAAGGUUACUCAGGCAGAUGUCAGACUCUUCUUUGAAUCUUUUUGUGGAGGGGUUCAACGCUUGAGGCUUCUUGGGGACUAUCAUCAUUCAACACGUAUUGCUUUUGUUGAGUUCAAAGUGCUAGAUGGUGAUCCUGUUGGUUAUUGAUUCUGUCAUUCAUCGCAAGCUCCCAGUCCCAACAAUGGCAAGUGAUACCUAAUGUUGAGUGAAUGGGUUUGCUAAUUUGGUGUUUCAAAAUGCGUACCGCAACGUUUUGGGACGCAAACAUCCUGUGAUCUGAGACUCGCGAUUUGGAAUGCGGAACCUAGGUGAAGGCUGAAAGCGCAAUUUCGGCACUUAACUGUAGUGGUGUUGUCCUGGGAUCUUUGCCAAUAAGGGUGAGCCCAUCAAAGACCCCUGUUCGGCCUCGCAUUCCUUGCUCUCCAUUGCAUUGAAUCAUGCUUAACGCUUCAUGGACUAAUCAACUGCUGAUAGAUAUAUUUAUGUAUACAUAUAUAGAUACUGAAAUAUUUUGAAGGUACUUGUGGCGUUUAUGUCUAUCAUUUUGUCCUUGCAUCUCAGCCCGGUAUCUUGUUUCCUAUAGGGGGUUGUUUCUGUUUCUGUUUCUGUUGUUAGAGGUGGAUGGGAUUCUGAGGAUCUGAAUGGCUUUAUUUACGUUGCACAAUUGAAAAUCAAAAAAUGACUCAUUUUACGA
Hevea brasiliensis (rubber tree) is the source of this 1868-nucleotide RNA transcript. It is a transcript of the gene named polyadenylate-binding protein-interacting protein 11, with no coding region annotated. The transcript is spliced from 13 exons. The record is from RefSeq and is a predicted model, not a curated record. Lineage: Eukaryota; Viridiplantae; Streptophyta; Magnoliopsida; Malpighiales; Euphorbiaceae.